Molecule: long non-coding RNA, 1633 nt
Organism: Prunus dulcis (almond)
Lineage: Eukaryota; Viridiplantae; Streptophyta; Magnoliopsida; Rosales; Rosaceae
Exons: 8
Source: RefSeq, a predicted model, not a curated record
AAAAAAGCUCUGGAUUUGUCUCUACUUUGGGCCGAAAACGCCUACUGGAUUCCUCUGGGCCGUUAAUUCUUCCUCCCAACUUUCUCACCUUCUUUGUCCCUCAACAAAUUAUUUACCGAAGGCGUUCCAAGCGACGUGGUGAAGUUGAUUUUCGCGCCUCAUGCAAGGGUUUUCCGAGACCGAUUCAGGCAGCUCUGAACCAGAAGACUUGUCUAGAAACUGAGCGUUUCAUUCCUCGUUGGCUUUACAUUCUCUGUUUAUAUGAUCUCCAUUUCAAAUUCAUUAGUUUUGCUGUCAAAUAUGCCUUUUGUUUUAGAUAAGAGAACUAAAGGAAGCAGACGCUAUGUUCCUCAGAAGAAUUCUGUAGCAUAUGCAUUGUUGAUUACACUUUACAGGAUCUUAUCGAUGCAGCUGAAGCAAGUAGGCUUUCUCGUGUGCCAAUAAGGCCAGAGAAGGGAAAGGGAAAAGCUGGACGCUUUGGGAGUUCUGCAAGGGAGUGUUAUAGUGGAUGGUCCUGCAUGAAGACAUUGAUAUCCAAGAGACUGGUUAUCAAAUCAAGUUGCCCAGCAAAGUACAUGCUUAGUCAAGAAGGUCAGGAAGCUGCACGUGAAUGUCUCAUGAGGUCUAGUAUGGAAAACCCCAUUGAAAAAACUGCUAAUGCUAAAGUGCUUUCUGUUCUGGAUGUGGACAAUAUUUCAUAUCAGGAGCUUGCUCAUCGUGACUCAGCCACGGAAAUGAUGUUGUUAUCCCCUACUGUGAGUAGGUGGAAGAAAUCAUUUGAUAUUCCACGGCUAUACAUUGUGAAGAGGUGUGGACUUAAGAAACUGAUAUCUUGUGGAAGGUGAUCCAAAUUGUUCUGAAGCUGCAGAAAGCAUUAAAACACCCUGUUUCACAACUGAAAUUUUGGAGGGAUUUGAUGUUCAGAGAACCAUUGGCUUGGUUGAUACAUUGAAGAAGUCCCCCAGGUAACCGAGGAAGUUGCCUUAGCUGUUCUGGAUUUGUACUCGACACUUUUAUCUUGCCCGUGCCUACUCUCUACUUUGGUUGCUCUUACUUUGUAUGCCUGCUUGAGUGUGGAAGAGCCAAAAGGCCCUGAAUUCAGCAUCAACGGUGCUUAUCUUACCCGAUUUAAUUACACCGAAACCAACCAUACUCUCUCCUACAAGCUCCCCCUCAACAUCACCCUCACAAACCCUUACAAGGAUCCCUUUGAGUUGAUUGACACCCAAGUCACUGCAUACUAUCAAAAAUAAAGAUUUGGCAUUGUCACCUUGAUCGACAGCCAGACAACGCCUAGAAGCCAAUAAUACAACCAUCUUUCAGAAUGCAGUUGUUCAAGGGUGGAAGCCUAUGGUGUUUGAGGAACCCUUGCUUCUCAAUACUACUCGCCUUUACAGUAUUGACGUGGUGAUUGCUUUCAAAGAUAAGAAUCAGGUGAUUGGCGGUGAGGUCAUGUGCAAUCUAAAUGUUCCUUUUGAGUUUUAACGAAAUAUCUUGCAAUGGUUACAAGUCUACAAAGUGCUUCCAGGUUUUUCUUGAAUAUUUAUGAUUGCCAUUUGCAGCCCUCCAGAAGUACGCUCGAAACAUUGAUGUGUUAGUUAAUUUCAAUUUUCAACUCGUGCUUAGCAAAUAU